UGGGGAAUAUUGGACAAUGCGGGAAACCGUGAUCCAGCAAUGCCGCGUGAGUGAUGAAGGCCUUAGGGUUGUAAAGCUCUUUUACCAGGGAUGAUAAUGACAGUACCUGGAGAAUAAGCUCCGGCUAACUCCGUGCCAGCAGCCGCGGUAAUACAGAGGGAGCUAGCGUUGUUCGGAAUUACUGGGCGUAAAGCGCGCGUAGGCGGCGUAUCAAGUCAGGGGUGAAAUCCCGGGGCUCAACCGCGGAACUGCCCUUGAAACUAGUAUGCUAGAAUACUGGAGAGGUUAGUGGAAUUCCGAGUGUAGAGGUGAAAUUCGUAGAUAUUCGGAAGAACACCAGUGGCGAAGGCGACUCACUGGACAGUUAUUGACGCUGAGGUGCGAAAGCGUGGGGAGCAAACAGGAUUAGAUACCCCCGUAGUCC
This 424-nucleotide ribosomal RNA is filed under the name uncultured prokaryote. RNAcentral describes it as "bacterial SSU rRNA". It matches the Rfam family "Bacterial small subunit ribosomal RNA", at positions 355 to 796 of the family's 1533-position model. The record is from RNAcentral.